GGGGAUUUAGCUCAGCGGCAUAAGCGCCUGCCUUGAAAGCAGGCAGUUGUGAGUUCAAUCCCUG
Cavia porcellus (domestic guinea pig) is the source of this 64-nucleotide transfer RNA. It matches the Rfam family "tRNA". Rfam says of the family: Transfer RNA (tRNA) molecules are approximately 80 nucleotides in length. Their secondary structure includes four short double-helical elements and three loops (D, anti-codon, and T loops). Lineage: Eukaryota; Metazoa; Chordata; Mammalia; Rodentia; Caviidae. The record is from Rfam.